AAGACCGUCACAAAUAAAAUGUAGUGUCUGUUUUUCCAAUGGACAAUAUAGCAAAUACAAGUCACGUAAAACAAACGAAAAGGCCUUUAAAAUGGGUUUAAGUAAUAAAGUACCUAUUGUUAUUUGUAGAUGACAAAAUCACUUCGACGUUUUGUAAUUUUCUAAUCAAUUCGGUUUAUUGUCAGAGGUAUCGACUUUUUGUCGAAUUCACUCCAGAAACAGUAAAUAAUAUAUUAUUUUCAUUUUUUCCCCGCUACUUAUUGAUAUUUCUAGCAGCUCUCUCCAUACCAAAACGAGCACAAACUCGGGAAUUAGAGUUGUUUUGUAGUUGGAUUGAAAUGAUAAAAGUUGCAUUGAAUUUCAAUAUGGAUUCAACCAUGUUAUUGCAUGUAACAACCCUAUAGACUUUUCAAAUUAAGCUAGACGAUGCA
Molecule: non-coding RNA, 431 nt
Organism: Cinara cedri
Lineage: Eukaryota; Metazoa; Arthropoda; Insecta; Hemiptera; Aphididae
Source: the annotation of a GenBank genome assembly